GAUGAACGCUGGCGGCGUGCCUAAUACAUGCAAGUCGAGCGAACGGACGAGAAGCUUGCUUUUCUGAUGUUAGCGGCGGACGGGUGAGUAACACGUGGAUAACCUACCUAUAAGACUAGGAUAACUUCGGGAAACCGGAGCUAAUACCGGAUAAUAUUUUGAACCGCAUGGUUCAAAAGUGAAAGACGGUCUUGCUGUCACUUAUAGAUGGAUCCGCGCUGCAUUAGCUAGUUGGUAAGGUAACGGCUUACCAAGGCAACGAUGCAUAGCCGACCUGAGAGGGUGAUCGGCCACACUGGAAGUGAGAAACGGUCCAGACUCCUACGGGAGGCAGCAGUAGGGAAUCUUCCGCAAAGGGCGAAAGCCUGACGGAGCAACGCCGCGUGAGUGAUGAAGGUCUUCGGAUCGUAAAACUCUGUUAUUAGGGAAGAACAUAUGUGUAAGUAACUGUGCACAUCUUGACGGUACCUAAUCAGAAAGCCACGGCUAACUACGUG
This 497-nucleotide ribosomal RNA is filed under the name uncultured bacterium. RNAcentral describes it as "partial 16S ribosomal RNA". It matches the Rfam family "Bacterial small subunit ribosomal RNA", at positions 28 to 507 of the family's 1533-position model. The record is from RNAcentral.